UACGAAGGGGGCUAGCGUUGCUCGGAAUCACUGGGCGUAAAGCGCACGUAGGCGGCUUCUUAAGUCAGGGGUGAAAUCCUGGAGCUCAACUCCAGAACUGCCCUUGAUACUGAGGAGCUCGAGUCCGGAAGAGGUGAGUGGAACUGCGAGUGUAGAGGUGAAUUCGUAGAUAUUCGCAAGAACACCAGUGGCGAAGGCGGCUCACUGGUCCGGUACUGACGCUGAGGAGCGAAGCC
RNAcentral lists this ribosomal RNA (236 nucleotides) under uncultured bacterium. RNAcentral describes it as "partial 16S ribosomal RNA". It matches the Rfam family "Bacterial small subunit ribosomal RNA", at positions 524 to 760 of the family's 1533-position model. The record is from RNAcentral.